UGUCUUAUGAUGAUAAGUUCAAUCUGAACAAAAUGCUGUGUUGUCUCUUAACUAAAAAUUAAACCAAAAGGAUACUGAUAAUA
Drosophila mojavensis is the source of this 83-nucleotide non-coding RNA. Lineage: Eukaryota; Metazoa; Arthropoda; Insecta; Diptera; Drosophilidae. The record is from Rfam.